This 216-nucleotide ribosomal RNA is filed under the name Brachybacterium sp. NIOT-PS14. RNAcentral's name for it is "partial 16S ribosomal RNA". It matches the Rfam family "Bacterial small subunit ribosomal RNA", at positions 378 to 606 of the family's 1533-position model. The record is from RNAcentral. Lineage: Bacteria; Bacillati; Actinomycetota; Actinomycetes; Micrococcales; Dermabacteraceae.
AAAGCCUGAUGCAGCGACCCCGCGUGGGGGAUGACGGCCUUCGGGUUGUAAACCCCUUUCAGUAGGGAAGAAGCGAGAGUGACGGUACCUGCAUAAGAAGCGCCGGCUAACUACGUGCCAGCAUCCGCGGUAAUACGUAGGGCGCAAGCGUUGUCCGGAAUUAUUGGGCGUAAAGAGCUUGUAGGUGGCUUGUCGCGUCUGCCGUGAAAACCCGAG